This 699-nucleotide ribosomal RNA is filed under the name Salmonella enterica subsp. enterica serovar Reading. Its description in RNAcentral is "partial 23S ribosomal RNA". It matches the Rfam family "Bacterial large subunit ribosomal RNA", at positions 711 to 1406 of the family's 2925-position model. Lineage: Bacteria; Pseudomonadati; Pseudomonadota; Gammaproteobacteria; Enterobacterales; Enterobacteriaceae. The record is from RNAcentral.
AGACCCGAAACCCGGUGAUCUAGCCAUGGGCAGGUUGAAGGUUGGGUAACACUAACUGGAGGACCGAACCGACUAAUGUUGAAAAAUUAGCGGAUGACCUGUGGCUGGGGGUGAAAGGCCAAUCAAACCGGGAGAUAGCUGGUUCUCCCCGAAAGCUAUUUAGGUAGCGCCUCGUGAAUUCAUCUCCGGGGGUAGAGCACUGUUUCGGCUAGGGGGCCAUCCCGGCUUACCAACCCGAUGCAAACUGCGAAUACCGGAGAAUGUUAUCACGGGAGACACACGGCGGGUGCUAACGUCCGUCGUGAAGAGGGAAACAACCCAGACCGCCAGCUAAGGUCCCAAAGUCAUGGUUAAGUGGGAAACGAUGUGGGAAGGCCCAGACAGCCAGGAUGUUGGCUUAGAAGCAGCCAUCAUUUAAAGAAAGCGUAAUAGCUCACUGGUCGAGUCGGCCUGCGCGGAAGAUGUAACGGGGCUAAACCAUGCACCGAAGCUGCGGCAGCGACGCUGAUGCGUUGUUGGGUAGGGGAGCGUUCUGUAAGCCUGCGAAGGUGGCCUGUGAGGGUUGCUGGAGGUAUCAGAAGUGCGAAUGCUGACAUAAGUAACGAUAAAGCGGGUGAAAAGCCCGCUCGCCGGAAGACCAAGGGUUCCUGUCCAACGUUAAUCGGGGCAGGGUGAGUCGACCCCUAAGGCGAGGCCGAA